Molecule: non-coding RNA, 48 nt
Filed under: uncultured Mamiellales
Lineage: Eukaryota; Viridiplantae; Chlorophyta; Mamiellophyceae; Mamiellales
Source: RNAcentral
CUUUCGCUCUUUUUUUUUUUUUUUUUUUUUUUUUUUUGACUGUAUUCU